AUGGACGCGCACACCGGCACCCCGCUCACCCCGUUGUACAGCCGCGACCCCCCCGCCGCCGCAGCCGCCGCCGUCGCCGGAAACCCUAGCGCGGGGAGCGUUGGCGUCGCCAGCGCCGGAGCUCCGCCGAGCGUCGGCCUCGCGCGCAGCCUCUUCUUGCCGCUGCGGAUGACCACGGCGCCGGGUGGCGUCACGCCGGCGCCGUCCCGUGCCGCCGCCGCACCGUCGAAGGUCCCCAACGCGACGCGGCCGAAGAAGGGCAAAACAUCCGCGAAGAAGAACCAAGGCGGCAGACGGCUCCGGCAGCACGAAGGCGAGGGGAAAGAAGCUUGCAGGGCGUUCGACGGCCGCGGCGGCUACCGAAGCGCCGGCGAGCUCACUCGUUGA
Molecule: ribosomal RNA, 387 nt
Filed under: Triticum aestivum (bread wheat)
Lineage: Eukaryota; Viridiplantae; Streptophyta; Magnoliopsida; Poales; Poaceae
Description: partial small subunit ribosomal RNA
Source: RNAcentral